UAGAGUUUGAUCAUGGCUCAGAUUGAACGCUGGCGGCAUGCCUUACACAUGCAAGUCGAACGGCAGCACGGGUGCUUGCACCUGGUGGCGAGUGGCGAACGGGUGAGUAAUACAUCGGAAUGUACCUUGUAGUGGGGGAUAGCUCGGCGAAAGCCGGAUUAAUACCGCAUGCGCUCUGAGGAGGAAAGCGGGGGACCUUCGGGCCUCGCGCUACAAGAGCAGCCGAUGUCAGAUUAGCUAGUUGGUGAGGUAAAAGCUCACCAAGGCGACGAUCUGUAGCUGGUCUGAGAGGACGACCAGCCACACUGGGACUGAGCCACGGCCCAGACUCCUACGGGAGGCAGCAGUGGGGAAUUUUGGACAAUGGGCGAAAGCCUGAUCCAGCAAUGCCGCGUGUGUGAAGAAGGCCUUCGGGUUGUAAAGCACUUUUGUCCGGAAAGAAAUCCUCUGGGUUAAUACCUCGGGGGGAGACGGACCGGAAGAAUAAGCACGGGC
Molecule: ribosomal RNA, 495 nt
Filed under: Pandoraea sp. HA-OP28
Lineage: Bacteria; Pseudomonadati; Pseudomonadota; Betaproteobacteria; Burkholderiales; Burkholderiaceae
Description: bacterial SSU rRNA
Rfam family: Bacterial small subunit ribosomal RNA
Source: RNAcentral